GGUCAAGUGAAGAAGCGCAUACGGUGGAUGCCUUGGCAGUCAGAGGCGAUGAAAGACGUGAGCCUGCGAAAAGCUUCGGGGAGUCGGCAAACAGACUUUGAUCCGGAGAUGUCGAAUGGGGGAACCAGCCAUCAUAAGAUGGUAUCUUGUACUGAAUACAUAGGUGCAAGAGGCGAACCAGGGGAACUGAAACAUCUAAGUACCCUGAGGAAAAGAAAUCAACCGAGAUUCCCUUAGUAGUGGCGAGCGAACGGGGACUAGCCCUUAAGUGGCUUUGAUUAGCGGAACGCUCUGGAAAGUGCGGCCAUAGUGGGUGAUAGCCCUGUACGCGAAAAUCUCUUAGUCAUGAAAUCGAGUAGGACGGAGCACGAGAAACUUUGUCUGAAUAUGGGGGGACCAUCCUCCAAGGCUAAAUACUACUGACUGACCGAUAGUGAACUAGUACCGUGAGGGAAAGGCGAAAAGAACCCCGGAGAGGGGAGUGAAAUAGAUCCUGAAACCGUAUGCGUACAAGCAGUGGGAGCCUACUUUGUUAGGUGACUGCGUACCUUUUGUAUAAUGGGUCAGCGACUUAUUUUCAGUGGCGAGCUUAACCGAAUAGGGGAGGCGUAGCGAAAGCGAGUCUUAAUAGGGCGUCUAGUCGCUGGGAAUAGACCCGAAACCGGGCGAUCUAUCCAUGGGCAGGUUGAAGGUUGGGUAACACUAACUGGAGGACCGAACCGACUACCGUUGAAAAGUUAGCGGAUGACCUGUGGAUCGGAGUGAAAGGCUAAUCAAGCUCGGAGAUAGCUGGUUCUCCUCGAAAGCUAUUUAGGUAGCGCCUCAUGUAUCACUGUAGGGGGUAGAGCACUGUUUCGGCUAGGGGGUCAUCCCGACUUACCAAACCGAUGCAAACUCCGAAUACCUACAAGUGCCGAGCAUGGGAGACACACGGCGGGUGCUAACGUCCGUCGUGAAAAGGGAAACAACCCAGACCGUCAGCUAAGGUCCCAAAGUUAUGGUUAAGUGGGAAACGAUGUGGGAAGGCUUAGACAGCUAGGAGGUUGGCUUAGAAGCAGCCACCCUUUAAAGAAAGCGUAAUAGCUCACUAGUCGAGUCGGCCUGCGCGGAAGAUGUAACGGGGCUCAAACCAUACACCGAAGCUACGGGUAUCACGUAAGUGAUGCGGUAGAGGAGCGUUCUGUAAGCCUGUGAAGGUGAGUUGAGAAGCUUGCUGGAGGUAUCAGAAGUGCGAAUGCUGACAUGAGUAACGACAAUGGGUGUGAAAAACACCCACGCCGAAAGACCAAGGUUUCCUGCGCAACGUUAAUCGACGCAGGGUUAGUCGGUCCCUAAGGCGAGGCUGAAAAGCGUAGUCGAUGGAAAACAGGUUAAUAUUCCUGUACUUCUGGUUAUUGCGAUGGAGGGACGGAGAAGGCUAGGCCAGCUUGGCGUUGGUUGUCCAAGUUUAAGGUGGUAGGCUGAGAUCUUAGGUAAAUCCGGGAUCUUAAGGCCGAGAGCUGAUGACGAGCUAACUUUUAGUUAGCGAAGUGGUUGAUGCCAUGCUUCCAAGAAAAGCUUCUAAGCUUCAGGUAACCAGGAACCGUACCCCAAACCGACACAGGUGGUUGGGUAGAGAAUACCAAGGCGCUUGAGAGAACUCGGGUGAAGGAACUAGGCAAAAUGGCACCGUAACUUCGGGAGAAGGUGCGCCGGUGAGGGUGAAGGACUUGCUCCGUAAGCUCAUGCCGGUCGAAGAUACCAGGCCGCUGCGACUGUUUAUUAAAAACACAGCACUCUGCAAACACGAAAGUGGACGUAUAGGGUGUGACGCCUGCCCGGUGCCGGAAGGUUAAUUGAUGGGGUUAGCUAACGCGAAGCUCUUGAUCGAAGCCCCGGUAAACGGCGGCCGUAACUAUAACGGUCCUAAGGUAGCGAAAUUCCUUGUCGGGUAAGUUCCGACCUGCACGAAUGGCGUAACGAUGGCGGCGCUGUCUCCACCCGAGACUCAGUGAAAUUGAAAUCGCUGUGAAGAUGCAGUGUAUCCGCGGCUAGACGGAAAGACCCCGUGAACCUUUACUAUAGCUUUGCACUGGACUUUGAAUUUGCUUGUGUAGGAUAGGUGGGAGGCUUUGAAGCGUGGACGCCAGUUCGCGUGGAGCCAUCCUUGAAAUACCACCCUGGCAACUUUGAGGUUCUAACUCAGGUCCGUUAUCCGGAUCGAGGACAGUGUAUGGUGGUAGUUUGACUGGGGCGGUCUCCUCCUAAAGAGUAACGGAGGAGUACGAAGGUGCGCUCAGACCGGUCGGAAAUCGGUCGUAGAGUAUAAAGGCAAAAGCGCGCUUGACUGCGAGACAGACACGUCGAGCAGGUACGAAAGUAGGUCUUAGUGAUCCGGUGGUUCUGUAUGGAAGGGCCAUCGCUCAACGGAUAAAAGGUACUCCGGGGAUAACAGGCUGAUACCGCCCAAGAGUUCAUAUCGACGGCGGUGUUUGGCACCUCGAUGUCGGCUCAUCACAUCCUGGGGCUGAAGCCGGUCCCAAGGGUAUGGCUGUUCGCCAUUUAAAGUGGUACGCGAGCUGGGUUUAGAACGUCGUGAGACAGUUCGGUCCCUAUCUGCCGUGGACGUUUGAGAUUUGAGAGGGGCUGCUCCUAGUACGAGAGGACCGGAGUGGACGAACCUCUGGUGUUCCGGUUGUCACGCCAGUGGCAUUGCCGGGUAGCUAUGUUCGGAAUAGAUAACCGCUGAAAGCAUCUAAGCGGGAAACUAGCCUCAAGAUGAGAUCUCACUGGAACCUUGAGUUCCCUGAAGGGCCGUCGAAGACUACGACGUUGAUAGGUUGGGUGUGUAAGCGCUGUGAGGCGUUGAGCUAACCAAUACUAAUUGCCCGUGAGGCUUGACCAU
RNAcentral lists this ribosomal RNA (2884 nucleotides) under Pseudomonas simiae. Its description in RNAcentral is "23S ribosomal RNA". It matches the Rfam family "Bacterial large subunit ribosomal RNA". Lineage: Bacteria; Pseudomonadati; Pseudomonadota; Gammaproteobacteria; Pseudomonadales; Pseudomonadaceae. The record is from RNAcentral.